This is a long non-coding RNA of Lineus longissimus, 284 nucleotides long. RefSeq lists it as uncharacterized. The transcript is spliced from 3 exons. NCBI's taxonomy places the organism in Eukaryota, Metazoa, Nemertea, Pilidiophora, Heteronemertea, Lineidae. The record is from RefSeq and is a predicted model, not a curated record.
GUCGGUGCCGGGGUUGCCGCUAACGUUAUCGCCCCACUCCUCAACCAGGGAAUCGGUGCUAUUGGAGAUGCCCUUGGCGGGCUCUUUGGAAAGCGUGACUUGGCUGACAUCGAAGCUCGUAUUGCCCCAGUUGUCGCCGCCGUCGGUGCCGGAGUUGCCGCUAACGUCAUCGCCCCACUCCUCAACCAGGGAAUUGGUGCUAUUGGAGAUGCCCUCGGUGGCCUCUUCGGAAAGCGUGAUGUUGAUCCUCGUAUCGCCCCAGUUGUCGUAGCUGUCGGUACCGG